AGCCGGUCCAAUGGUAGUGGGUUAUCAGAACUUAUUAACGUGAGUGUCACUAAGGUUGGUAUACAACCCCCCACGGCUAAAUUUGACUGUCUUAAA
RNAcentral lists this Y RNA (96 nucleotides) under Callithrix jacchus (white-tufted-ear marmoset). RNAcentral describes it as "Y RNA (ENSCJAG00000078903.1)". It matches the Rfam family "Y RNA". Rfam says of the family: Y RNAs are components of the Ro ribonucleoprotein particle (Ro RNP), in association with Ro60 and La proteins. Lineage: Eukaryota; Metazoa; Chordata; Mammalia; Primates; Cebidae. The record is from Rfam by way of RNAcentral.